AGUACAAGCAACUCUUCCUGUCUUCUUAUCCAGAGUCACAAGAGGAUGGGAGAGGAGUGGUCUGCAAGCAGCAGUAGGAGCAAGACCUUGAGACGUGUCCAUCAAUGCUACUCAGAGUCUCGCUCUGUUGCCAGGCUGGAAUGUAAUGGCACAAUCUCGGCUCACUUCAACCUCCGCCUCCCGAAUUCAAGCAAUUCUCCUGCCUCAGUUUCCCUGAGUAUCUGAGACUACAGAUGCCUGCCACCAUGCCUGGCUAAUUUUUGUAUUUUUAGAAGAGACAGGGUUUCGU
This 289-nucleotide long non-coding RNA is filed under the name Pan troglodytes (chimpanzee). RNAcentral describes it as "lincRNA". The record is from RNAcentral. Lineage: Eukaryota; Metazoa; Chordata; Mammalia; Primates; Hominidae.